Molecule: non-coding RNA, 116 nt
Filed under: Leptospira biflexa
Lineage: Bacteria; Pseudomonadati; Spirochaetota; Leptospiria; Leptospirales; Leptospiraceae
Source: RNAcentral
GUUCGCAAAAGUCUGGAAAAUACCUUCAGGGAGGAAACAGGUGCAAAUCCUGUGCUGACCCGCAACUGUAAUCCAAACAUUCGUUUGGUGAGCCAGAUCUUCCCCGUAAAGUAUUC